GUGCCAGCCGCCGCGGUAAUACGGAGGGUGCAAGCGUUGUCCGGAAUCACUGGGCGUAAAGGGUGCGCAGGCGGGGCAGCAAGUCGGAGGUGAAAGCCCAUGGCUCAACCAUGGAAGUGCCUUCGAAACUGUUGCUCUUGAGUCCCGGAGAGGCUGUCGGAAUUUUUGGUGUAGCGGUGAAAUGCGUAGAUAUCACGAGGAACACCAGAGGCGAAAGCGGACAGCUGGACGGUUACUGACGCUCAGUCACGAAAGCGUGGGGAGCAAACAGGAUUAGAUACCCGAGUAGUCC
RNAcentral lists this ribosomal RNA (292 nucleotides) under uncultured bacterium. RNAcentral describes it as "partial 16S ribosomal RNA". It matches the Rfam family "Bacterial small subunit ribosomal RNA", at positions 505 to 796 of the family's 1533-position model. The record is from RNAcentral.